RNAcentral lists this ribosomal RNA (485 nucleotides) under uncultured bacterium. Its description in RNAcentral is "bacterial SSU rRNA". It matches the Rfam family "Bacterial small subunit ribosomal RNA", at positions 327 to 805 of the family's 1533-position model. The record is from RNAcentral.
AACCGAGAACUCCUACGGGAGGCAGCAGUGGGGAAUUUUGGACAAUGGGUGCAAGCCUGAUCCAGCAAUGCCGCAUGCAGGAAGAAGGCCUUCGGGUUGUAAACUGCUUUUGUCAGGGAAGAAAUCCUUUGGGCUAAUACCUCGGAGGGAUGACGGUACCUGAAGAAUAAGCACCGGCUAACUACGUGCCAGCAGCCGCGGUAAUACGUAGGGUGCGAGCGUUAAUCGGAAUUACUGGGCGUAAAGCGUGCGCAGGCGGCUUUGCAAGACAGAGGUGAAAUCCCCGGGCUCAACCUGGGAACUGCCUUUAUGACUGCAAGGCUAGAGUACGGCAGAGGGGGAUGGAAUUCCGCGUGUAGCAGUGAAAUGCGUAGAUAUGCGGAGGAACACCGAUGGCGAAGGCAAUCCCCUGGGCCUGUACUGACGCUCAUGCACGAAAGCGUGGGGAGCAAACAGGAUUAGAAACCCCUGUAGUCCGACUGAGA